UAGAGUUUGAUCCUGGCUCAGAAUGAACGCUGGCGGCGUGCUUAACACAUGCAAGUCGAACGAGAAAGUUCUCUUCGGAGGAUGAGUAGAGUGGCGAACGGGUGAGUAACACGUGGAUAAUCUGACUUCGGGAACGGGAUAACCAAUCGAAAGGCUGGCUAAAACCGUAUGAAGUUUUCGAUCAUAAGAUUGAAAAUGAAAAGGUGCCUCUGAUGUAUGCAUCUGCUUGAAGGUGAGUCCGCGUACCAUUAGCUAGCUGGUGGGGUAAGAGCCUACCAGGGCGACGAUGGUUAGCUGGUCUGAGAGGAUGAUCAGCCACACUGGAACUGAAACACGGUCCAGACUCCUACGGGAGGCAGCAGUGAGGAAUUUUGCGCAAUGGGGGGGACCCUGACGCAGCAACGCCGCGUGAGUGAAGAAGGCCCUUGGGUCGUAAAGCUCUGUCAACAGGGAAGAAGUUAUCAUGCAUGAAUAAUGUAUGGUAUUGACGGUACCUGUGGAGGAAGCACCGGCUAACUCCGUGCCAGCAGCCGCGGUAACACGGGGGGUGCAAGCGUUAUUCGGAAUUAUUGGGCGUAAAGUGCGCGCAGGCGGUCUUGCCGGUCAGGUGUGAAGCCCGGGGCUCAACUCCGGAAGAGCAUUUGAACAGCAAGACUUGAGUACAGGAGAGGAAAGCGGAAUUCCUGGUGUAGAGGUGAAAUUCGUAGAUAUCAGAGGAACACUCAUGGCGAAAGCAGCUUUCUGGACUGAUACUGACGCUGAGGCGCGAAGGUGUGGGUAGCGAACAGGAUUAGAUACCCUGGUAGUCCACACAGUAAACGAUGUUCACUAGGUGUAGCGGGUAUUAAAACCUGCUGUGCCGGAGCUAACGCAUUAAGUGAACCGCCUGGGGACUACGGCCGCAAGGCUGAAACUCAAAGGAAUUGACGGGGGCCCGCACAAGCGGUGGAGCAUGUGGUUUAAUUCGACGCAACGCGAAGAACCUUACCUGAGCUUGACAUGCACGGGACCGCCCUGGAAUCAGGGUUUCUCUUCGGAGUCCGUGUACAGGUGCUGCAUGGCUGUCGUCAGCUCGUGUCGUGAGAUGUUGGGUUAAGUCCCGCAACGAGCGCAACCCUUACCUUUAGUUGCCAUCGGGUCAUGCCGGGAACUCUAAAGGGACUGCCGGUGAUAAACCGGAGGAAGGUGGGGAUGACGUCAAGUCCUCAUGGCCUUUAUGCUCAGGGCUACACACGUGCUACAAUGGCCGGUACAAAGAGUCGCAAGACCGCGAGGUGGAGCUAAUCUCAUAAAACCGGUCUCAGUUCGGAUUGGAGUCUGCAACUCGACUCCAUGAAGUUGGAAUCGCUAGUAAUCGUGGAUCAGCAUGCCACGGUGAAUACGUUCCCGGGCCUUGUACACACCGCCCGUCACACCACGAAAGCCGAAUGUACCAGAAGUCAUAAUGCUAACCUUCGGGAGGCUAGUGCCUAAGGUGUGUUUGGUGAUCAGGGUGAAGUCGUAACAAGGUA
Molecule: ribosomal RNA, 1511 nt
Filed under: uncultured Pseudomonadota bacterium
Lineage: Bacteria; Pseudomonadati; Pseudomonadota
Description: bacterial SSU rRNA
Rfam family: Bacterial small subunit ribosomal RNA
Source: RNAcentral